AUUGAACGCUGGCGGCAGGCCUAACACAUGCAAGUCGAGCGAGCGGAGGACGGGUGAGUAAUGUCUGGGAAACUGUCUGAUGGAGGGGGAUAACUACUGGAGACGGUAGCUAAUAUCGCAUACCCUAUGAUGUGCCCCGAGGGGAUUAGAUGGUAGGUGGGGUAACGGCUCACCUAGGCGACGAUCCCUAGCUGUGCUGAGAGGAUGACCAGCCACUCUGGAACUGAGACACGGUCCAGACUCCUACGGGAGGCAGCAGUGGGGAAUAUUGCACAAUGGGCGCAAGCCUGAUGCAGCCAUGCCGCGUGUGUGAAGAAGGCCUUCGGGUUGUAAAGCACUUUCAGCGGGGAGGCGUUACCCGCAGAAGAAGCACCGGCUAACUCCGUGCCAGCAGCCGCGGUAAUAC
Molecule: ribosomal RNA, 406 nt
Filed under: uncultured bacterium
Lineage: Bacteria
Description: partial 16S ribosomal RNA
Rfam family: Bacterial small subunit ribosomal RNA
Source: RNAcentral